RNAcentral lists this ribosomal RNA (468 nucleotides) under uncultured bacterium. RNAcentral's name for it is "partial 16S ribosomal RNA". It matches the Rfam family "Bacterial small subunit ribosomal RNA", at positions 28 to 507 of the family's 1533-position model. The record is from RNAcentral.
GACGAACGCUGGCGGCGUGCUUAACACAUGCAAGUCGAACGGAAAGGCCCUGCUUUUGUGGGGUGCUCGAGUGGCGAACGGGUGAGUAACACGUGAGUAACCUGCCCUUGACUUUGGGAUAACUUCAGGAAACUGGGGCUAAUACCGGAUAGGAGCUCCUGCUGCAUGGUGGGGGUUGGAAAGUUUCGGCGGUUGGGGAUGGACUCGCGGCUUAUCAGCUUGUUGGUGGGGUAGUGGCUUACCAAGGCUUUGACGGGUAGCCGGCCUGAGAGGGUGACCGGCCACAUUGGGACUGAGAUACGGCCCAGACUCCUACGGGAGGCGGCAGUGGGGAAUAUUGCACAAUGGGCGGAAGCCUAAUGCAGCAACGCCGCGUGCGGGAUGACGGCCUUCGGGUUGUAAACCGCUUUCGCCUGUGACGAAGCGUGAGUGACGGUAAUGGGUAAAGAAGCACCGGCUAACUACGUG